RNAcentral lists this ribosomal RNA (513 nucleotides) under uncultured bacterium. Its description in RNAcentral is "bacterial SSU rRNA". It matches the Rfam family "Bacterial small subunit ribosomal RNA", at positions 8 to 526 of the family's 1533-position model. The record is from RNAcentral.
AGAGUUUGAUCAUGGCUCAGGACGAACGCUGGCGGCGUGCUUAAUACAUGCAAGUCGAGGGACGAAACCGGGAUGGGUAACCAUUCCGGCUGAAACCGGCGAACGGGUGAGUAACACGUGGGCAACGUGCCCCAGACACAGGAAUAACAACGGGAAACCGUUGCUAAUGCCUGAUAACCCCUGCGCACCGCAUGGCGUGCAGGGCAAAGCUCCGGCGGUCUGGGAUCGGCCCGCGUCCUAUCAGCUUGUUGGUGGGGUGACGGCCUACCAAGGCGAUGACGGGUAGCUGGCGUGAGAGCGUGGCCAGCCACACUGGGACUGAGACACGGCCCAGACUCCUACGGGAGGCAGCAGUAGGGAAUCUUGCACAAUGGGCGCAAGCCUGAUGCAGCGACGCCGCGUGAGGGAUGACGGCUUUCGAGUUGUAAACCUCUUUCAGCGGGGACGAAGCGAAAGUGACGGUACCCGCAGAAGAAGGUCCGGCCAUCUACGUGCCAGCAGCGGCGGUAAUAC